GCUGGGCAUGGUGGCGCAUGCCUGUAAUCCCAGCUACUCAGGAGGCUGAGGCAGGAGAAUUGCCUGAACCCAGGAGGUGGAGGUUGCGGUGAGCCGAGAUCGCGCCAUUGCACUCCAGCCUGGGUAACAAGAGCGAAACUCUGCCUCAA
Molecule: non-coding RNA, 149 nt
Filed under: Callithrix jacchus (white-tufted-ear marmoset)
Lineage: Eukaryota; Metazoa; Chordata; Mammalia; Primates; Cebidae
Source: Rfam by way of RNAcentral